Molecule: ribosomal RNA, 409 nt
Filed under: uncultured bacterium
Lineage: Bacteria
Description: bacterial SSU rRNA
Rfam family: Bacterial small subunit ribosomal RNA
Source: RNAcentral
CAGCAGCCGCGGUAAUACGGAGGGUGCAAGCGUUAUCCGGAUUCACUGGGUUUAAAGGGUGCGUAGGCGGAUAUGUAAGUCCGUGGUGAAAUCUCAAAGCUUAACUUUGAAACUGCCAUGGAUACUAUGUAUCUUGAAUGUUGUGGAGGUUUGCGGAAUAUGUCAUGUAGCGGUGAAAUGCUUAGAUAUGACAUAGAACACCGAUUGCGAAGGCAGCAGGCUACACAAAUAUUGACGCUGAGGCACGAAAGCGUGGGGAUCAAACAGGAUUAGAUACCCUGGUAGUCCACGCCCUAAACGAUGAUUACUCGACAUUUGCGAUAUACAGUAAGUGUCUGAGCGAAAGCAUUAAGUAAUCCACCUGGGAAGUACGACCGCAAGGUUGAAACUCAAAGGAAUUGACAGAAGC